UCUACACGUAAGGAGUCGUCGGCAGCGUCAGAUGUGUAUAAGAGACAGAAGUGGUACACCGAAGCAGCGGGCUCUAGUUUACUAGAGCGGUAGGAGAGCGCCGAUGAUCAGAUACGAGCCGUACGGUAACGAGCGGUGUCGGGGUCAUCGGGUGAUUAUGCCGGAAUGAGUAACGAUAAAACAGGUGAGAAUCCUGUUCGCCGAAAGCCUAAGGUUUCCUGGGGAAGGCAAUUCCGCCCAGGGUUAGCCGGUACCUUAGUCGAGGCCGAAAGGCGUAGACGAUGGAUAGCAGGUCAACAUUCCUGCGCCGGUUGUGUAUUCGAUGUGGGGACGGCGUCCAGAAAGUGAGCGGUACGAAUAGAAAUGUCCGUAGCGAAAGCUGAGAUAUCCGGGGUUAAAAUACCGGUGUUCGUCAAGGCUGAGCUCGAGAGCGUUUAAGUUCUCGAAGUUAUUGGAAGGACGUCCAAGAAAAGCCACUAGGUUAAGCAACUGACCGUACUAAAACUGACACAGGUAGGUGAGAAGAGAAUUCUAAGGCGCUCGGGAGAACGGUGGUUAAGGAACUCUGCAAAAUGGCCCCGUAAGUUCGCGAUAAGGGGCGCCCUCUUUGGUUUACGCUGAAGGGGGCCACAGAAAAUCGGCUCUAACGACUGUUUAUCAAAAACACAGGUCUCUGCUAACACGCAAGUGGAUGUAUAGAGACUGACGCCUGCCCGGUGCUGGUAGGUUAAGGAAGACGGUUAGCCUCACGGCGAAGCUGGCGACCGAAGCCCCAGUAAACGGCGGCCCUAACUAUGAGGGUCCUAAGGUAGCGAAGUUCCUUGUCGGGUAAGUUCCGACCUGCAUGAAAGGCGUAACGAUUUGAGCACUGUCUCAACCACCGACCCGGUGAAAUUGUAGUUGUGGUGAAGAUGCCACAUACCCGCGGUUAGACGGAAAGACCCCGUGAACCUUUACUGUAGGCUGAUAUUGGGUUGAGAUAUGUCUUGUGUAGGAUAGCUGGGAGGCUUUGAACAGAUGGCGCUAGCCAUUUGGGAGCCGUUGUUGAAAUACCAGCCUGGUCAUAUUUUAAUUCUAACUUUGAUCCCCUGAAUCGGGGCAAAGGACAGUGUCAGUCGGGCAGUUUGACUGGGGCGGUCUCCUCCCAAAGAGUAACGGAGGAGUACAAAGGUACACUCAGCCUGGUCGGCAAUCAGGCGUAGAGCGUAAAGGUAGAAGUGUGCUUGACUGCGAGACUCAUAAGUCGAGCAGGAACGAAAGUUGGUCUUAGUGCUGUCUCUUAUACACAUCUGACGCUGCCGACGACUCCUUACGUGUAGAU
This 1321-nucleotide ribosomal RNA is filed under the name seawater metagenome. RNAcentral's name for it is "bacterial LSU rRNA". It matches the Rfam family "Bacterial large subunit ribosomal RNA", at positions 1134 to 2449 of the family's 2925-position model. The record is from RNAcentral.